RNAcentral lists this ribosomal RNA (392 nucleotides) under Stramenopiles sp. RNAcentral describes it as "partial small subunit ribosomal RNA". It matches the Rfam family "Eukaryotic small subunit ribosomal RNA", at positions 582 to 975 of the family's 1831-position model. The record is from RNAcentral.
AUUCCAGCUCCAAUAGCGUAUAUUAAUGUUGUUGCAGUUAAAAAGCUCGUAGUUGGAUUUCUGAUUAGUUGAACCGGUCAUAGUCUUCGGACAUGUACUGUGUGUUCUAACUAUUCAUCCUUGGGCGGAAAGUUUCGGUUAUUCAUUUAACUGGAUCGGGAAACCCAUCUUUUACUGUGAAAAAAUUAGAGUGUUUAAAGCAGGCAAUCGCCUUGAAUACAUUAGCAUGGAAUAAUAAGAUAGGACUUUGGUACUAUUUUGUUGGUUUGCAUACCGAAGUAAUGAUUAACAGGGACAGUUGGGGGUAUUCGUACUUCGUUGUCAGAGGUGAAAUUCUUGGAUUUCCGAAAGACGAACUACUGCGAAAGCAUUUACCAAGGAUGUUUUCAUUG